This 201-nucleotide long non-coding RNA is filed under the name Capsicum annuum. Its description in RNAcentral is "long non-coding RNA (CANN_LNC007978)". Lineage: Eukaryota; Viridiplantae; Streptophyta; Magnoliopsida; Solanales; Solanaceae. The record is from RNAcentral.
UUAGCAUAAAUUAUAUGAUAUUAUAGUAUCAAAUAAAAUCAUAACAAUCAAUAAAUAUAAAUAUGUAUAUAUUAGCAUAUAAAGCAUCAUAAACUCAAAGAUGAUUUUUCAGAUUAUUGUGACUAUUGUUAUGACUUUAUAGAAGGUACACUGCAAUGGAUUAUACAAGAAGAUUUACACAAUGAGAAAUUCUCGAAGCAG